Molecule: long non-coding RNA, 208 nt
Organism: Telopea speciosissima
Lineage: Eukaryota; Viridiplantae; Streptophyta; Magnoliopsida; Proteales; Proteaceae
Exons: 3
Source: RefSeq, a predicted model, not a curated record
CAAGGAAAGCAAUGGUUUGAAUGUCAGAUUCGGAGACACGAGUCUCGUAGAAUCUGGCGAUGAAAGCAGAGGCCUUCCUGUCAAUGUCAGGUUCAGCAACCCAACGUUCUUUGUCUUCGUCGCUGUGUCGUACCCUUCUCAGGUUCACUGCUUCGUCCCACAUAUCUUCUCCUCCCUCGCCUGAUUUCUUCCCCUUUCCGAUUUUAAA